ACAGCCAGUGGCACAGGCAGAGCCCCUUGACAAAUGUGCUGUAGCUGAUUAUGAGCAGAUCCAAUGUGGACCACCUGGUAUCAGUGGUGCUGAGUGUGCAGCUAUUAACUGCUGCUUUAACGGACAGCAGUGUUACUAUGGGAAGGCCGUGACUGUCCAGUGUAUAAGAGAUGGUCAGUUUGUGGUAGUGGUGGCUAGAGAUGUCACGCUGCCUCGUUUGAGCCUGGAUUCAGUCCGUCUCCUGGGUGGAAAUGAUCCAGCUUGCAGUCCUGUGGGAUCCACACCUUUCUUUGCUAUAUACCAGUUCCCUGUCACUGCGUGCGGCACGAGCA
Rhinichthys klamathensis goyatoka is the source of this 332-nucleotide long non-coding RNA. RefSeq lists it as uncharacterized. Lineage: Eukaryota; Metazoa; Chordata; Actinopteri; Cypriniformes; Leuciscidae. The record is from RefSeq and is a predicted model, not a curated record. The transcript is spliced from 2 exons.